UCCACCAACUCCACUCUCUAGCCACCAGCCCACCGUCGGCCGUCAUAGCCCCUCGCCGGAGAAGGUCGCAACCCCUUUUGUUCUUUGGCCUUCCCUCACUAAUUCACUUUCUUCAUCCUUCAGGUUCAUUUAAACAUUCCCGCCUGUCUAAUUAACCCUAAAACCCUCUCUUUCUCCCCCCCCACCCCAAAAUUCCCCUCUCUUUCUCCCAAAAUUCUUCAUCCUUCUCUCUGUCCACCACGGUGCACCUCAAUUUCCACCUGAGCAAAACUUCUUGUCGCCGCAAGCCACCAUUUUCAGGUCAUAUGUGAGUCACUUUUCCAGUUUAUUCACGUUUUUUUUUAUUUUGUUACAAAAUCAUUAGUAGGUUAGCGUGUGUCAAAGUGAUUGAGCACCAUAGUUGCUUGUUAUUCAGUUUGUUUGAUUUUGUUGUUCAACUCGUGAGUAUACUAAGAAGCUGGAUGAAGAUUUUUGGACCGAUAUGUGUCGAUUUAGAAGGUUUUGUUUAAACAUAAUCUCUAAUUUGGUGCUGGUAGUUGAUUUAGGGUUGGUAAUUUGUUUGUUAAACGAAUUUGAAUGUUGUUAAUAUCCCCUUCUAGUAACUGUAUGAUGUGAAAAUAUCAUCUGGUUGUUUGUUUGUCGUCUUGAUUAUCCAGAAACUACAAAACCAAAUAUGUACGGGAAGCAAAGAUCCCACGUUAGAAACUGGCAGACAGGUGUGACGACUCUCGGCCCCUUUUACAAGUUAUACUUGCUAGAAUCACCCUCUCUUGAAUGCUUAACUAAAUGGGGAAAUUGGGUUAAAGUGUUUUCCAAGAAUGUUAAGAGUUCGGAUCUAGAAUGAGUUUUUGUUAAGAUGAUGCUUGAAACCGGAUGAAUAUAUGUAUAGUUAGCUGAAAACACUAUAGGAAUGGGUUAUUCUCAUCAGUGACAUUGAAAGAAAACAAAUGAAGAUUUUAAGAAAAAGUGAUAUGAUGACCAAAUUUGACCCAGAUUGGGGCUUUUAUUAAAGUAUAUUUAAGCAUUCCUGUUCUAUUAGUCUAGAAUUGAAACUUCCUGAAUCUUCAUGUUAAUCUAUCAUUUAGCAAAAGAUAUUCCCAUAUCUACGGAUUCCUGUUACUAUUUAGAAAUCUGGUUUUACCUAGACGAUACAUUAUCUAUGUAGUAAUUACAUACAUCAACAAAACAAGACCACCCAAAUGGGAGGCAAUAGCAUCGAUGAGAUGUUUGAUUGUUCGGAUAGUACAAAUAGAUAUAACAGUUUAUAUCAGAAGGUAAUACAGCUGAAGAGGAGACUGAACAGCUUAGGGCAUCGGUUGAUUUCCUUGUGGAGCUAUGUGACACUCCAGAUGAGGGUAAUUUUGCAAAUUGGUCACACCAGGCUGUAGACUUCAUUUUGGAUUAAAAUGUUGAACUUAGUUAUCAAGGAGCUCGUUAAGGAAAAAUAAGAAGAAAAAGAAAGGUUCAAUGGAAUUAUUGUGAGGUUGUUGGCUGAAAAAGAAAAAGAUAAUGUGGAUAAAGAUGCUAUGCUUGAUAGGACGUCACAAAUUGAUGCUAUGUUAACAGAGUUACAGUUCGAAGAUAGGCUAUAAACAUUUGGUUUUGAAUGUUUAGAUGUUUAUCUUAUUAGGAUAAUUUUAGUUAUUUUAUGUUUUAGUUAGUAUUUUUUAUAUGCUUUUGAAAACGAGAUA
Molecule: long non-coding RNA, 1691 nt
Organism: Helianthus annuus (common sunflower)
Lineage: Eukaryota; Viridiplantae; Streptophyta; Magnoliopsida; Asterales; Asteraceae
Exons: 3
Source: RefSeq, a predicted model, not a curated record